GCUGAUGACACCCAGCUAUAUCUCUCCACCCCGGACCUCUCCCCUGCUGUCCUGCAACGUGUCACUGCUUGCCUUUCUUCCAUCUCUGACUGGAUGUCCUCCCGCUUUCUGAAACUCAGUCUCUCAAAAACUGAGCUCCUUGUCUUUCCUCCUCCUAAUACUGAUCCUCCUCUUUCGCUCUCUCUUCAAGUUUGUGGUACCAACAUCAGCCCAUCCUUGCAAGCGCGCUGUCUUGGC
Pelobates cultripes (western spadefoot toad) is the source of this 237-nucleotide non-coding RNA. The record is from the annotation of a GenBank genome assembly. Lineage: Eukaryota; Metazoa; Chordata; Amphibia; Anura; Pelobatidae.